RNAcentral lists this ribosomal RNA (250 nucleotides) under uncultured bacterium. RNAcentral describes it as "partial 16S ribosomal RNA". It matches the Rfam family "Bacterial small subunit ribosomal RNA", at positions 524 to 773 of the family's 1533-position model. The record is from RNAcentral.
UACGUAGGGUGCGAGCAUUAAUCGGAUUUAUUGGGCGUAAAGGGCGCGUAGGCUGAAAGGCAAGUCAGAUGUGAAAUCCCGGGGCUCAACCCCGGAACAGCAUUUGAAACUGCGUUUCUAGAGGGUAGGCGGAGAAAAUGGAAUUCCACAAGUAGCGGUGAAAUGCGUAGAUAUGUGGAAGAACACCAGUGGCGAAGGCGGUUUUCUAGCUUAUUCCUGACGCUGAGGCGCGAAAGCAAGGGGAUCAAAC